ACACUUCCCAUCUGUCCCCAGU
RNAcentral lists this microRNA (22 nucleotides) under Eptesicus fuscus (big brown bat). RNAcentral describes it as "efu-miR-9287". The record is from miRBase by way of RNAcentral. Lineage: Eukaryota; Metazoa; Chordata; Mammalia; Chiroptera; Vespertilionidae.